AGAGUUUGAUCCUGGCUCAGGACGAACGCUGGCGGCGUGCUUAACACAUGCAAGUCGAGCGGUAAGGCCCUUUCGGGGGUACACGAGCGGCGAACGGGUGAGUAACACGUGGGUGACCUGCCUUUAGCUCUGGGAUAAGCCUGGGAAACUGGGUCUAAUACCGGAUAUGACCUCAUGGUGCAUGUUGUGGGGUGGAAAGCCUUGUGCGGCUAGGGAUGGGCCCGCGGCCUAUCAGCUUGUUGGUGGGGUGAUGGCCCACCAAGGCGACGAUCCGUAGCUGGUCUGAGAGGACGACCAGCCACACUGGAACUGAGACACGGUCCAGACUCCUACGGGAGGCAGCAGUGGGGAAUUUUGGACAAUGGGCGCAAGCCUGAUCCAGCCAUGCCGCGUGAGUGAAGAAGGCCUUCGGGUUGUAAAGCUCUUUCGGCGGGGACGAAACGGUCCGUGACAACACCACGGACUAAUGACGGUACUCGCAGAAGAAGCACCGGCUAACUACGUGCCAGCAGCCGCGGUAAU
RNAcentral lists this ribosomal RNA (522 nucleotides) under uncultured Actinomycetes bacterium. RNAcentral's name for it is "bacterial SSU rRNA". It matches the Rfam family "Bacterial small subunit ribosomal RNA", at positions 8 to 524 of the family's 1533-position model. The record is from RNAcentral. Lineage: Bacteria; Bacillati; Actinomycetota; Actinomycetes.